Molecule: unclassified non-coding RNA, 367 nt
Filed under: soil metagenome
Description: partial contains 5.8S ribosomal RNA, internal transcribed spacer 2, and large subunit ribosomal RNA
Rfam family: 5.8S ribosomal RNA (bases 1-120)
Source: RNAcentral
GAUGAAGAACGCAGCGAAAUGCGAUAAGUAAUGUGAAUUGCAGAAUUCAGUGAAUCAUCGAAUCUUUGAACGCAUCUUGCGCUCCUUGGUAUUCUGAGGAGCAUGCCUGUUUGAGUGUCAUUAAAUUCUCAACUACACUGACUUUGAAUUGGUGUGGCUUGGAUUUGGGGGGAAAAUUGUUGUGGGCUUUUUGUAUAGUCUGCUCCCCUGAAAUUGAUUAGCGGUACCUUUGUGGAACUGUCUACAGGUGUGAUAAUUAUCUACAUCUGCUGGAAUGCUGCUUUCUAAACCUUACUUGUAUUGACAAUCUUGACCUCAAAUCAGGUAGGACUACCCGCUGAACUUAAGCAUAUCAAUAAACGGAGGA